CCUGGUAGCUCAGUUGGUAAAGAGUCUGCCUGCAAUGCAGGAGACCCGGGUUUGAUCCCUGGGUCAGGA
Molecule: transfer RNA, 69 nt
Filed under: Ovis aries (sheep)
Lineage: Eukaryota; Metazoa; Chordata; Mammalia; Artiodactyla; Bovidae
Rfam family: tRNA
About the family: Transfer RNA (tRNA) molecules are approximately 80 nucleotides in length. Their secondary structure includes four short double-helical elements and three loops (D, anti-codon, and T loops). Further hydrogen bonds mediate the characteristic L-shaped molecular structure. tRNAs have two regions of fundamental functional importance: the anti-codon, which is responsible for specific mRNA codon recognition, and the 3' end, to which the tRNAs corresponding amino acid is attached (by aminoacyl-tRNA synthetases). tRNAs cope with the degeneracy of the genetic code in two manners: having more than one tRNA (with a specific anti-codon) for a particular amino acid; and 'wobble' base-pairing, i.e. permitting non-standard base-pairing at the 3rd anti-codon position.
Source: Rfam by way of RNAcentral